CUACGCUGUCGGCUAACCCCGGCAGCGUAGUUUUAAGCGGGUCCGGAGCUCACAAAGCACUGGACCCUUCCUGAAAAGUAAAUGAUGGCUAUCAGGGGCAUCCGGUAAAAACCCGGUCUAUCUGCGGGGUCCCGUAGUGGCUUAACCAGUUGCUCAGGCACGCCGUGCUGCGGUUUCCACGCCGAUGGUGUUCCCUUAUCGAGGGUGACCA
Molecule: regulatory RNA element, 211 nt
Rfam family: sucA-II RNA
Source: Rfam